Molecule: ribosomal RNA, 446 nt
Filed under: uncultured bacterium
Lineage: Bacteria
Description: bacterial SSU rRNA
Rfam family: Bacterial small subunit ribosomal RNA
Source: RNAcentral
CGGCAUGCCUAANACAUGCAAGUCGAACGAGACCUUCGGGUCUAGUGGCGCACGGGUGCGUAACACGUGGGAAUUUGCCUCGGGGUACGGAAUAACUCAGGGAAACUUGAGCUAAUACCGUAUGAUGUCUUCGGACCAAAGAUUUAUCGCCCUGAGAUAAGCCCGCGUAGGAUUAGCUAGUUGGUGAGGUAAGAGCUCACCAAGGCGACGAUCCUUAGCUGGUCUGAGAGGACGACCAGCCACACUGGGACUGAGACACGGCCCAGACUCCUACGGGAGGCAGCAGUGGGGAAUUUUGGACAAUGGGCGCAAGCCUGAUCCAGCAAUGCCGCGUGCAGGAUGAAGGCCUUCGGGUUGUAAACUGCUUUUGUACGGAACGAAACGGUGAGCUCUAAUACAGUUUGCUAAUGACAGUACCGGGAGAAUAAGCUCCGGCUAACUCCGUG